Molecule: ribosomal RNA, 21 nt
Filed under: Symbiodinium sp. clade B isolate Dstok28
Lineage: Eukaryota; Dinophyceae; Suessiales; Symbiodiniaceae
Description: partial 18S ribosomal RNA
Source: RNAcentral
CUGCGGAAGGAUCAUUCGCAC